CAGAAAUCUCGUGUGGAACA
Molecule: small nuclear RNA, 20 nt
Filed under: Arabidopsis thaliana (thale cress)
Lineage: Eukaryota; Viridiplantae; Streptophyta; Magnoliopsida; Brassicales; Brassicaceae
Description: snRNA_13111
Source: RNAcentral